This 434-nucleotide ribosomal RNA is filed under the name uncultured bacterium. Its description in RNAcentral is "partial 16S ribosomal RNA". It matches the Rfam family "Bacterial small subunit ribosomal RNA", at positions 29 to 507 of the family's 1533-position model. The record is from RNAcentral.
AGCGAACGCUGGCGGCAGGCCUAACACAUGCAAGUCGAACGAACCUUUCGGGGUUAGUGGCGGACGGGUGGGUAACACGUGGGAACGUGCCUUUAGGUUCGGCAUAACUCAGGGAAACAUGUGCUAAUACCGAAUGUGCCCUUCGGGGGAAAGAUUAAUCGCCUUUAGAGCGGCCCGCGUCUGAUUAGCUAGUUGGUUGAGGUAAUGGCUCACCAAGGCGACGAUCAGUAGCUGGUCUGAGAGGAUGAUCAGCCACAUUGGGACUGAGACACGGCCCAAACUCCUACGGGAGGCAGCAGUGGGGAAUCUUGCGCAAUGGGCGAAAGCCUGACGCAGCCAUGCCGCGUGAAUGAUGAAGGUCUUAGGAUUGUAAAAUUCUUUCACCGGGGACGAUAAUGACGGUACCCGGAGAAGAAGCCCCGGCUAACUUCGUG